AACAAAAUCUCAAAUCUGUUGUCUUAAAAUGACUAAAAACCCUUUACUGGAUUUAUUGCACCUGCAAACAGCUCCUCCCAAACACAGAGUUCACUUUACUUUGAGCUUUUCAUGGAUCUCAAGUUACUGCACAGUAAAGACACUCAUGUGAACCAGUCACUUUGGAUCUUUUUCAGAAGGCAUAAGGAAGCCUGCACACCUGGCACAAAAUUCAGACUUCCCAUCUAUUGACCUUGGAACCUUAGAAUCUAUUCCAUACCAUGCUUUUUAAAGAGCCCAGAUCUGUUACUGGUUCUAGCUUCUACCCUUGAGCCAGGAGGCCAGGUGACAGAUGGUAAUGCAGGCUGAGGUUUCCCUGAACUCCUUUUUCCUGUGUCUUUGCCACAUUUGAAAUUGCAUUUCCAUGCCCUUCAUGCACAUGUUCCCUGUAUUUUGGGGUAUAACUUCAUGCUGAUGGCAGUAGCAAAAUGUCAGCAUCUUUUUAAGGUUUUCUUGUUUUCUCUUACUGUACAUAUCAAUUAGGUUUCUUUGAAAAGAGGAUACCUGCACAAAAAGCAAUUUUUGCUCCUUGUGAUAUUCUACAUUGCACUAUAUAUUGCUGAAGUUAUUGGUGUCUGAAUAGCAUUGUUCUCCCUCAUUACCCCACAUCUCAGCCUGGUGGUGUGAUGAAUUC
Molecule: long non-coding RNA, 673 nt
Filed under: Parus major (Great Tit)
Lineage: Eukaryota; Metazoa; Chordata; Aves; Passeriformes; Paridae
Description: lncRNA (ENSPMJG00000000935.1)
Source: RNAcentral